UCUCCCUGGCAAGGGCAAAGAGAUACCUUGUUGUUGGUGUUGCUCUUGUGUUACCCAGGGACAUAGCAGAUGGCAGCCCUUUGUUCAUCCUAGCUUGAUGCCUGGGUUUGGUGGCCAAAGCUGUUUUAUGCCUAGGACUCAUAG
Molecule: small nucleolar RNA, 144 nt
Organism: Apodemus sylvaticus (European woodmouse)
Lineage: Eukaryota; Metazoa; Chordata; Mammalia; Rodentia; Muridae
Product: small nucleolar RNA SNORA48
Exons: 1
Source: RefSeq, a predicted model, not a curated record